UACAGAGGUCCCAAGCGUUUGUUCGGAUUCAUUGGGCGUAAAGGGUGCGUAGGUGGCGCUGUAAGUCGGGUGUGAAAUUUCGGAGCUUAACUCCGAAACUGCAUUCGAUACUGCGGUGCUUGAGGACUGGAGAGGAGACUGGAAUUCAUGGUGUAGCAGUGAAAUGCGUAGAGAUCAUGAGGAAGACCAGUGGCGAAGGCGGGU
This 204-nucleotide ribosomal RNA is filed under the name uncultured bacterium. Its description in RNAcentral is "partial 16S ribosomal RNA". It matches the Rfam family "Bacterial small subunit ribosomal RNA", at positions 524 to 726 of the family's 1533-position model. The record is from RNAcentral.